GUGGCCAAUCCUCUACGAGGCUAACGAGGUUUGCAACC
Molecule: non-coding RNA, 38 nt
Filed under: Thermus thermophilus HB8
Lineage: Bacteria; Thermotogati; Deinococcota; Deinococci; Thermales; Thermaceae
Source: RNAcentral